This 231-nucleotide ribosomal RNA is filed under the name uncultured bacterium. RNAcentral's name for it is "partial 16S ribosomal RNA". It matches the Rfam family "Bacterial small subunit ribosomal RNA", at positions 99 to 334 of the family's 1533-position model. The record is from RNAcentral.
CGGACGGGGGAGUAAUGUCUGGGAAACUGCCCGAUGGAGGGGGAUAACUACUGGAACGGUAGCUAAUACCGCAUAACGUCGCAAGACCAAAGAGGGGGACCUUCGGGCCUCUUGCCAUCGGAUGUGCCCAGAUGGGAUUAGCUAGUAGGUGGGGUAACGGCUCACCUAGGCGACGAUCCCUAGCUGGUCUGAGAGGAUGACCAGCCACACUGGAACUGAGACACGGUCCAG